GCAAGCAUGAAUUUGGCCAGGGAAAAAGCGUGCUGUUCCCCAUGAAGAACGGUUUCCACUGUCUCAACAGCAGAUGCGUACUUCCAGAAAUCCUUGCAGGUGCUGGCAGCACUACAGAGAUCCGCCCCUCCCAGUUGUCGGAAAAUCUUAUUUGUCAUAUCAACGGAUAAAUCUUCAAAUGUUCCACGAGGUGAGUCCAUUGUUGCACCUAAACAACGCACGCAUCAAUCAGGAAGAGCAGUAGAACAGGACUGCGCAAUAGAAAUCGCCGGUGUGCAGUCACGAACUCAACCCUCACUUUCAUCUGAGGUCCUAAGCAUGUGCAAUCACACUCGCAGGAAUGCACAAUCGACCCGAUGAAAGGAAAAGCGCUUGACCUGUUUGUUCCGAAUAUGCCUUGGAAGCAACACUAGCGCCCACCUUAUCGUAGCAACAACAUCACAACUUCAAUGUUUCGGGCCAGUAAUCGAAAACUUUUUCAUCCGU
This 486-nucleotide long non-coding RNA is filed under the name Coccomyxa subellipsoidea. RNAcentral describes it as "long non-coding RNA (CSUB_LNC000394)". The record is from RNAcentral. Lineage: Eukaryota; Viridiplantae; Chlorophyta; Trebouxiophyceae; Coccomyxaceae.